AUUGAACGCUGGCGGAAUGCUUUACACAUGCAAGUCGAACGGCAGCACGGACUUCGGUCUGGUGGCGAGUGGCGAACGGGUGAGUAAUAUAUCGGAACGUGCCCAGUCGUGGGGGAUAACGUAGCGAAAGUUACGCUAAUAACGCAUACGAUCUAUGAAUGAAAGCGGGGGAUCGCAAGACCUCGCGCGAUUGGAGCGGCCGAUAUCAGAUUAGGUAGUUGGUGGGGUAAAGGCGCACCAAGCCAACGAUCUGUAGCUGGUCUGAGAGGACGACCAGCCACACUGGAACUGAGACACGGUCCAGACUCCUACGGGAGGCAGCAGUGGGGAAUUUUGGACAAUGGACGCAAGUCUGAUCCAGCCAUUCCGCGUGCAGGAUGAAGGCCCUCGGGUUGUAAACUGCUUUUGUACGGAACGAAAAGGUCUCCAUUAAUACUGGGGGCUCAUGACGGUACCGUAAGAAUGAGCACCGGCUAACUACGUGCCAGCCGCCGCGGUAA
This 500-nucleotide ribosomal RNA is filed under the name uncultured bacterium. RNAcentral's name for it is "partial 16S ribosomal RNA". It matches the Rfam family "Bacterial small subunit ribosomal RNA", at positions 30 to 523 of the family's 1533-position model. The record is from RNAcentral.